Molecule: ribosomal RNA, 164 nt
Filed under: uncultured bacterium
Lineage: Bacteria
Description: partial 16S rRNA
Rfam family: Bacterial small subunit ribosomal RNA
Source: RNAcentral
UAGGGAAUCUUCGGCAAUGGACGAAAGUCUGACCGAGCAACGCCGCGUGAGUGAAGAAGGUUUCGGAUCGUAAAACUCUGUUGGUAGAGAAGAACGUUGGUGAGAGUGGAAAGCUCAUCAAGUGACGGUAACUACCCAGAAAGGGACGGCUAACUACGUGCAAG